GACGAACGCUGGCGGCGUGCUUAACACAUGCAAGUCGAACGAAGAGCGAUGGAAGCUUGCUUCUAUCAAUCUUAGUGGCGAACGGGUGAGUAACGCGUAAUCAACCUGCCCUUCAGAGGGGGACAACAGUUGGAAACGACUGCUAAUACCGCAUACGAUCUAAUCUCGGCAUCGAGGAUGGAUGAAAGGUGGCCUCUACAUGUAAGCUAUCACUGAAGGAGGGGAUUGCGUCUGAUUAGCUAGUUGGAGGGGUAACGGCCCACCAAGGCGAUGAUCAGUAGCCGGUCUGAGAGGAUGAACGGCCACAUUGGGACUGAGACACGGCCCAGACUCCUACGGGAGGCAGCAGUGGGGAAUCUUCCGCAAUGGACGAAAGUCUGACGGAGCAACGCCGCGUGAGUGACGACGGCCUUCGGGUUGUAAAGCUCUGUUAAUCGGGACGAAAGGCCUUCUUGCGAAUAGUGAGAAGGAUUGACGGUACCGGAAUAGAAAGCCACGGCUAACUACGUG
Molecule: ribosomal RNA, 510 nt
Filed under: uncultured bacterium
Lineage: Bacteria
Description: partial 16S ribosomal RNA
Rfam family: Bacterial small subunit ribosomal RNA
Source: RNAcentral